UAGAGAAGAGCUUAUGAAGUUAGCCAAGAUGACUGCCUGCAAAACCCACAAAAAUACAUUAUAAAAUUUUUUUCCCGAUUAAUUUCUAUGGCUGAUGAGACCAUGCAUCUUAGGGACGAAUGCAGGCAAGUCAUUCUUGGCUACUAAACAAGCCUCUUUUCU
RNAcentral lists this microRNA precursor (162 nucleotides) under Olea europaea subsp. europaea. Lineage: Eukaryota; Viridiplantae; Streptophyta; Magnoliopsida; Lamiales; Oleaceae. The record is from RNAcentral.